RNAcentral lists this ribosomal RNA (209 nucleotides) under uncultured Chlamydomonadales. RNAcentral's name for it is "partial 18S ribosomal RNA". It matches the Rfam family "Eukaryotic small subunit ribosomal RNA", at positions 1461 to 1672 of the family's 1831-position model. The record is from RNAcentral. Lineage: Eukaryota; Viridiplantae; Chlorophyta; Chlorophyceae; Chlamydomonadales.
UCUGUGAUGCCCUUAGAUGUUCUGGGCCGCACGCGCGCUACACUGUUGCAUUCAACGAGCCUAUCCUUGACCGAGAGGUCCGGGUAAUCUUUGAAACUGCAACGUGAUGGGGAUAGAUUAUUGCAAUUAUUAGUCUUCAACGAGGAAUGCCUAGUAAGCGCGAGUCAUCAGCUCGCGUUGAUUACGUCCCUGCCCUUUGUACACACCGC